This 497-nucleotide ribosomal RNA is filed under the name uncultured bacterium. RNAcentral's name for it is "partial 16S ribosomal RNA". It matches the Rfam family "Bacterial small subunit ribosomal RNA", at positions 36 to 507 of the family's 1533-position model. The record is from RNAcentral.
GCUUCCCUCUUUCUUCGUGCCUAAUACAUGCAAGUCGAGCGAACAGAUGAGGAGCUUGCUCCUCUGACGUUAGCGGCGGACGGGUGAGUAACACGUGGAUAACCUACCUAUAAGACUGGGAUAACUUCGGGAAACCGGAGCUAAUACCGGAUAAUAUAUUGAACCGCAUGGUUCAAUAGUGAAAGACGGUUUUGCUGUCACUUAUAGAUGGAUCCGCGCCGCAUUAGCUAGUUGGUAAGGUAACGGCUUACCAAGGCAACGAUGCGUAGCCGACCUGAGAGGGUGAUCGGCCACACUGGAACUGAGACACGGUCCAGACUCCUACGGGAGGCAGCAGUAGGGAAUCUUCCGCAAUGGGCGAAAGCCUGACGGAGCAACGCCGCGUGAGUGAUGAAGGUCUUCGGAUCGUAAAACUCUGUUAUUAGGGAAGAACAAAUGUGUAAGUAACUAUGCACGUCUUGACGGUACCUAAUCAGAAAGCCACGGCUAACUACGUG